AUUUUGUAAUUUCAGAAAAAAAAAUUUAAUAAACAUUUUUUGAGAAAACGUUUUUCAGAAUUUUU
Caenorhabditis elegans is the source of this 65-nucleotide non-coding RNA. Lineage: Eukaryota; Metazoa; Nematoda; Chromadorea; Rhabditida; Rhabditidae. The record is from Ensembl.